Non-coding RNA from Paramuricea clavata, 213 nucleotides. The record is from the annotation of a GenBank genome assembly. Lineage: Eukaryota; Metazoa; Cnidaria; Anthozoa; Malacalcyonacea; Plexauridae.
GUUACAUUCCAGCCUGAGUUAAUAGAUGCUCCAAAUACAGUAAAACUAAAAAUAUAGAGUAGCGAAAUAGUUCGCUACAUUUUUUAAGCAGUAGUUGUAGUCAGUAGCGAACUACCUUUCUUUAAAAGUAGCAGUAGUUGUAGCUGACUACAUAUUUUUGAAGUAGCUGUAGUUAUAGCGAACUACAAAAAAAUUGUAGUCAACCCACCCUUG